Molecule: long non-coding RNA, 290 nt
Filed under: Ananas comosus (pineapple)
Lineage: Eukaryota; Viridiplantae; Streptophyta; Magnoliopsida; Poales; Bromeliaceae
Description: long non-coding RNA (ACOM_LNC038427)
Source: RNAcentral
UAGGCUUGUAAGAAAUCUGAUUGUGAUUAAAGAUCUAACUAAUUUUGUGAUAAAAAAUAAAUAAAUCAACUAACAGAUGAUCGCUAAAUCUAAAUAAAUACUUAAUUGAUCCAGAAGCGUGCGAGGCACUAGCGUAAGACGUAUUCCCUUCCUUAUGUACAGGAUUAACCGGAAAUAACACUCCAAGGUACGAUCAGAAUUCCUCCUCCUGCGAGCACGAUCGUGAAGGAGAUUAACGGAGACUCUUUCAAUAUCCGAUGACAAAUAGAUCAAAGCCAAAUAGAUCAAAA